This 1439-nucleotide small RNA is filed under the name Pongo abelii (Sumatran orangutan). RNAcentral describes it as "retained intron". Lineage: Eukaryota; Metazoa; Chordata; Mammalia; Primates; Hominidae. The record is from RNAcentral.
GACAGUGCCAACAGGAGCAAAGCCAGCUAUCCUCACUGCCACAAGACCCAUCACCAAAAUGAUUGUAACGCAGCCAAAAGGAAUAGGUUCUACAGUUCAACCAGCAGCUAAAAUCAUCCCAACAAAAAUUGUUUAUGGGCAGCAAGGGAAAACGCAGGUUCUUAUUAAACCCAAACCAGUGACUUUUCAAGCGACAGUUGUUAGUGAACAAACAAGACAGCUAGUAACAGAAACAUUGCAGCAGGCAUCCAGGGUAGCAGAGGCUGGUAAUUCAUCUAUUCAGGAAGGAAAAGAAGAGCCACAGAAUUAUACAGAUAGUAGUUCCUCUUCUACAGAGUCCUCCCAGAGUUCCCAAGAUUCCCAGCCUGUAGUUCAUGUAAUUGCUUCCCGGCGUCAGGAUUGGUCAGAACAUGAGAUUGCAAUGGAGACUAGCCCUACCAUAAUUUAUCAGGAUGUAUCCAGUGAAUCACAAUCAGCUACUUCAACAAUCAAAGCUCUGUUAGAACUCCAACAGACAACAGUAAAGGAAAAAUUGGAAUCUAAACCAAGACAACCCACUAUUGACCUGAGUCAAAUGGCAGUGCCUAUUCAGAUGACCCAGGAAAAGAGACAUUCUCCUGAGAGUCCAUCAAUUGCUGUGGUAGAGUCAGAACUAGUAGCUGAAUACAUCACUACUGUCAGCCAUCGCUCCCAGCCCCAACAGCCUUCCCAGCCCCAGCGGACCCUGCUCCAGCAUGUGGCUCAGUCACAGACCGCAACACAGACUUCGGUGGUGGUGAAGUCCAUCCCAGCAUCUUCCCCUGGAGCAAUCACCCACAUUAUGCAGCAGGCAUUAAGCAGUCACACUGCUUUUACCAAACACAGCGAGGAACUUGGAACUGAGGAGGGCGAGGUUGAAGAGAUGGACACUUUAGACCCUCAGACAGGUCUGUUUUACCGAUCUGCCCUGACUCAGUCACAGUCAGCUAAACAGCAGAAACUUAGCCAGCCCCCGCUGGAACAGACUCAGCUGCAAGUGAAAACUCUGCAGUGCUUCCAGACUAAACAGAAGCAGACCAUCCACCUGCAGGCAGACCAGCUCCAGCACAAACUCCCACAAAUGCCCCAGCUUUCCAUCAGGCAUCAAAAACUCACCCCUCUCCAGCAAGAACAAGCACAGCCCAAGCCAGAUGUACAGCACACACAGCAUCCCAUGGUGGCCAAAGACAGGCAGCUUCCUACCUUAAUGGCACAGCCCCCGCAAACUGUAGUACAGGUGCUUGCAGUGAAAACCACGCAGCAGCUCCCUAAACUGCAGCAGGCUCCGAACCAACCAAAAAUCUACGUGCAACCCCAAACCCCCCAGAGCCAAAUGUCGCUCCCAGCUUCGUCAGAGAAACAGACGGCAAGCCAGGUAACGGAAUAUUGAUAGCAUGCAAAGUUAAACUUCUCUGUUCACG